AGAUACCCCACUAUGCUUAGCCUUAAACCUAGAUGUUAAAUUUACAAGCAACAUCCGCCAGGGUACUACAAGCGCUAGCUUAAAACCCAAAGGACUUGACGGUGUCUCAGACCCACCUAGAGGAGCCUGUUCUAGAACCGAUAAUCCCCGUUAAACCUCACCACCCCUUGUUUUCCCCGCCUAUAUACCGCCGUCGCAAGCUUACCCUGUGAAGGUCUCAUAGUAAGCAAAGUGGGUAAAUCCCAAAACGUCAGGUCGAGGUGUAGCUUACGAGGUGGGAAGAAAUGGGCUACAUUUUCUAUAUCAGAAUAAUACGAACAGCACCAUGAAAUUUGUGCUCGAAGGUGGAUUUAGUAGUAAAAAAUAAAUAGAGAGUCUUUUUGAACCAGGCUCUGAGACGCGCACACACCGCCCC
This 415-nucleotide ribosomal RNA is filed under the name Ceratobranchia sp. MNHG2731043-15230. RNAcentral describes it as "partial 12S ribosomal RNA". It matches the Rfam family "Bacterial small subunit ribosomal RNA", at positions 780 to 1396 of the family's 1533-position model. The record is from RNAcentral. Lineage: Eukaryota; Metazoa; Chordata; Actinopteri; Characiformes; Stevardiidae.